This 192-nucleotide small nucleolar RNA is filed under the name Tetrapisispora phaffii CBS 4417. The record is from RNAcentral. Lineage: Eukaryota; Fungi; Ascomycota; Saccharomycetes; Saccharomycetales; Saccharomycetaceae.
UCCCGGGCUGAUAACUGGAUGGUUUGAUCGGAUAGUAUUCAUACUUAUGAGCAUAUACACUUAUGCUUUUCAGUCCCAUACUGUCUUUUAAUUGUCCGGGAGAACAAAUUAUUGUGGGAAUGCUUCUUACACGAUGUUUUAUUCCGCAAGGAAUUCCCAUAUUUUACAUUCGUUUACUUUCCCUCAACAUCU